AGAGUUUGAUCAUGGCUCAGAGUGAACGCUGGCGGCGUGCUUAACACAUGCAAGUCGAGCGAAGUACUAACGGUAGCAAUACUGGAUAGGCUUAGCGGCAGACGGGUGAGUAACACGUAGAGAACCUUCCUCUAAGCGGGGGAUAGCUAGCCGAAAGGUUAGGUAAUACCGCGUACGAUCCACUGGUGGCAUCACCGGUGGAUGAAACAUCCGCAAGGAUGGCUUGGAGAGGGCUCUGCGGCCUAUCAGCUAGUUGGUGAGGUAACGGCUCACCAAGGCAACGACGGGUAACCGACCUGAAAGGGUGAACGGUCACACUGACACUGAGACACGGGUCAGACACCUACGGGUGGCAGCAGUGAGGAAUCUUGGACAAUGGGGGCAACCCUGAUCCAGCGACGCCGCGUGAAGGAUGAAGGUCUUCGGAUUGUAAACUUCUUUUGUCUGGGAAUAAAAAAUCUAUAGAAAUAUGGAGAUGAAGGUACCAGACGAAUAGUCCC
This 500-nucleotide ribosomal RNA is filed under the name uncultured Verrucomicrobium sp. Its description in RNAcentral is "bacterial SSU rRNA". It matches the Rfam family "Bacterial small subunit ribosomal RNA", at positions 8 to 494 of the family's 1533-position model. The record is from RNAcentral. Lineage: Bacteria; Pseudomonadati; Verrucomicrobiota; Verrucomicrobiia; Verrucomicrobiales; Verrucomicrobiaceae.